GACGAACGCUGGCGGCGUGCUUAACACAUGCAAGUCGAGCGGAAAGGCCCUUUCGGGGGUCCUCGAGCGGCGAACGGGUGAGUAACACGUGAGUAAUCUGCCCUUCACUUGGGGAUAACCUCCGGAAACGGUGGCUAAUACCCGAUACGACCAUUCCUCGCAUGAGGUGGUGGUGGAAAGUUUUUCGGUGGGGGAUGUGCUCGCGGCCUAUCAGCUUGUUGGUGGGGUAAUGGCCUACCAAGGCUUCGACGGGUAGCCGGCCUGAGAGGGUGACCGGCCACACUGGGACUGAGACACGGCCCAGACUCCUACGGGAGGCAGCAGUGGGGAAUAUUGGACAAUGGGCGGAAGCCUGAUCCAGCAACGCCGCGUGAGGGAUGACGGCCUUCGGGUUGUAAACCUCUUUCACCUGUGACGAAGCGAAAGUGACGGUAGCAGGAGAAGAAGCACCGGCCAACUACGUG
Molecule: ribosomal RNA, 464 nt
Filed under: uncultured bacterium
Lineage: Bacteria
Description: partial 16S ribosomal RNA
Rfam family: Bacterial small subunit ribosomal RNA
Source: RNAcentral